CAGCCGCCACGGGAAUACAGAGGGUGCAAGCGUUAAUCGGAAUUACUGGGCGUAAAGCGCGCGUAGGUGGUUUGUUAAGUUGGAUGUGAAAGCCCCGGGCUCAACCUGGGAACUGCAUCCAAAACUGGCAAGCUAGAGUACGGUAGAGGGUGGUGGAAUUUCCUGUGUAGCGGUGAAAUGCGUAGAUAUAGGAAGGAACACCAGUGGCGAAGGCGACCACCUGGACUGAUACUGACACUGAGGUGCGAAAGCGUGGGGAGCAAACAGGAUUAGAUACCCCAGUAGUCCCUGUCUCUUAUAA
This 301-nucleotide ribosomal RNA is filed under the name uncultured bacterium. RNAcentral describes it as "partial 16S ribosomal RNA". It matches the Rfam family "Bacterial small subunit ribosomal RNA", at positions 509 to 809 of the family's 1533-position model. The record is from RNAcentral.